RNAcentral lists this ribosomal RNA (1077 nucleotides) under uncultured alveolate. RNAcentral describes it as "bacterial SSU rRNA". It matches the Rfam family "Eukaryotic small subunit ribosomal RNA", at positions 20 to 1162 of the family's 1831-position model. The record is from RNAcentral.
GUAGUCAUAUGCUUGUCUCGCAGAUUAAGCCAUGCAUGUCUAAGUGUAAAUAUUAAACAGUGAAACUGCGAAUGGCUCAUUAAAACAGUUAUUGUUUGGUUGGAGUAUUAUCCAUCGGAUAUCCGUGGAAAUGCUACAGUUAAUACGUACAAUCUUAUUUAUAAGAGUUACAUAUUAAAUUGAAUAGGUAGUGUGAAAGCACUAAAAUUGAAUACUUAUAUGAACAGAUCGUUUCUAACGAAAAUCCAUCAAAGUUUCUGACCUAUCAGGUUCCGACGGUUGGGUAUUGGCCAACCGUGCCUAUAACGGGUAACGGGGGAUUAGGGUUUGAUUCCGGAGAGGAAGCUUGAGAUAUAGCUACCACAUCUAAGGAAGGCAGCAGGCGCGCAAAUUACCAAUCCUCGACACGGGGAGGUAGUAAACAGAAAUACUAACGUUCGAUUAUAUCGUACGAUUAGAAAGAGUGGUAUUUAAAACACACCAUGAAUACAAUUGGAGGGCAAGUCUGGUGCCAGCAGCCGCGGUAAUACCAGCUCCAAUAGCGUAUAUUAUUGAUGUUGCAGUUAAAACGUUCGUAGUCGAAUUUUGUCUGUUUAUUUAGAGAUGGUCAAUUUGACAAUCACUGAAAGAACCGGAUACAGUAUAGGAUUUUUACUUCGGUAGUAUUCUAUACCUUACUUUGAGUGAAUCAGCGUGUUCAACGCAGGCAAGUGUCUUGAAUGAUUUACCAUAGAAUAAAAAUAUUUUUUCAAUGUCUUUAUACUUAUUCGAAGCCAUUGUUUAUACAUAUAAGAACGGUUGAGGGCAUUCAUAUUCAACUGCUAGAGGUGAAAUUCUUUGAUUAGUUGAGGAUGAACAAUUGCGAAAGCAUCUGCCAAGGACGUUUCUUUUGAUCAAGAACGAAAGUUAGGUGAUCGAAGAUGAUUAGAUACCGUCGUAGUCCUAACUGUAAACUUUGCUAACCAAGUAUUGGAUGGGCAAUUUUUUUCUUCUUCAGUACUUUUUGAGAAAUCAUAAGUCUUUGAGUUCUGGGGGGAGUAUAGUUGCAAGGCCGAAACUUAAAGGAAUUGACGGAAG